AUGGCAGAGUCCAGAACAUUCGGAGGUCUCAAGCCCACCACCAAAAGGGAGCCCAGUCCAGCCUACUGGGCCCUACUAAACUCGGCGCGCAUUUCGCCGAGAUCAGAGGCCCACCACCAUCCAACGUCGCGGCCACUCCUCCCCCACCUCGCAUCCUCUUCUCCACUGAACUCUCUUUUUUUCUCCUUUUCUCCGGAGAGUCAAUGCCUCGGUCAAAGCUCAACGAGACCAUGUCUUCCUCCUCUCCGCUCGCCGCGCCUCCCUGCCCCAUCCGCCGCUAGCCACCGUACCCGCCCCUCUCCCAGCCCCCCGCAUUACCCUCUGCCGCGCCAGAUCUCGCAGUUUCCAUGGACCCGACUGCCUCCGCCUCCGCCUCCACCUCCGCCGCGGAGGAGGAGGAGCCGUCGUCGCUGUCGUCGCGGGACGUCGCGGCGAUGUCGGGCUCGCCGCCGCGCCGGGCGGCGAGGCACCGGCGCGCGCAGUCGGAGAUCCUCCUCGGCGCGGCGCUCCCGGACGACAUCGCCUUCGACGCCGACCUCGGCGUCGUCGGGGAGGUCGGCGGCGACGACUACGAGGAGGAGGACGACGAGGAGGAGGAUGAGGGGGCAGGCGGCAGCCGGAUGUUCGAGAUGUUGUUCCUCGAGGCCGGGGGCAAGCUCGAGUCCCCGGAGCCCGCGGCGCCGCUGCCCCCACCGCCCGCUCGGCCGCGGCACCAGCACAGCAUGUCGAUGGACGGCUCCACGUCCCUGGCGUCGUCCGCCGCCGGUGUGGCUGGGAGGAUGGGCGCUGACGCUAAGAAGGCAAUCUCUGAUGCCAAGCUUGCGGAGCUCGCCCUCGUUGACCCCAAGCGCGCCAAGAGGAUCUUGGCAAACCGCCAGUCAGCUGCUCGGUCAAAAGAAAGAAAGAUGCGAUACAUUGCAGAGCUCGAGAGAAAAGUACAGACUCUCCAGACAGAAGCAACUACACUAUCAGCACAGUUGUCCAUGUUACAGAGAGAUACUACUGGUUUAACAAGUGAAAAUAGUGAUUUGAAAAUACGGGUGCAAACAAUGGAGCAACAAGUCAGGCUGCAGGAUGCACUGAACGACAGGCUAAGAGAUGAGAUUCAAAAGCUGAAGGUUGCAACAGGUCAGGUUAACACCAGCUGUGGCAAAGUGGGAAACUUUGGCCUGUCCUCAUUUGGAAGCGCCAAUCCACAAGGUUACCAGCGCAGUCACAUACAAUCUCUUCUGGCAGCUCAGCAGCUGCAGCAGCUACAGAUCCACUCCCAGCACCAGCAGCAACAGAUGCAUCUGCAGCAGCAGCAGCAGCAUCUUAGCACGCUCCAGCAGCAGCUUCUGCAGGAGUCGUUGCCCUUGCCAGGGGAUCUGAAGAUGAAAGGAAUUGCUGCUGCAUCCCAUGCACAGAAUGCGGGCGCGUCUGAAAGCCACGCUCUGAGGAGUGAGCCGUGAUAUUGUGGCAUAGGUCCAUGUCGGUCGUCAGUAAUAAUAACAUGUUGUAUCUGAGUGAAGGGAUCAUGCAUAGGCUAGCACAGUAUCUAGGUAAAAUUUCGGACUAUCUAAGAACUUAGAUGCCAGCAGAUGCAGCCUGUAGAAUGUAGAUCCAAUUCAGUUGUAAGUCGUAGAACUGAUGAGGCAAACUGAGUAAUUCACCGGUGACAUGAAUAUGUUAACG
This is an RNA transcript of Oryza brachyantha (malo sina), 1674 nucleotides long. It is a transcript of the gene named transcription factor RF2a-like, with no coding region annotated. The record is from RefSeq and is a predicted model, not a curated record. The transcript has 4 exons. NCBI's taxonomy places the organism in Eukaryota, Viridiplantae, Streptophyta, Magnoliopsida, Poales, Poaceae.